Molecule: ribosomal RNA, 427 nt
Filed under: uncultured bacterium
Lineage: Bacteria
Also listed under: 1 other name
Description: bacterial SSU rRNA
Rfam family: Bacterial small subunit ribosomal RNA
Source: RNAcentral
UCGAGAAUCAUUCGCAAUGGGCGCAAGCCUGACGAUGCGACGCCGUGUGAGCGAUGAAGGCCUUCGGGUUGUAAAGCUCUUUCGCUUGGGAACAAGAGAGGGUGACUAAUAAUCAUCUAAUUUGAGGGUACCAGGUAAAGAAGCACCGGCUAACUACGUGCCAGCAGCUGCGGUAAUACGUAGGGUGCAAGCAUUAAUCGGAUUUAUUGGGCGUAAAGGGCGCGUAGGCGGAUAGUCAAGUCGUGUGUGAAAUUUCGGGGCUCAACCUCGAAGCGGCACAGGAAACUAACUAUCUAGAGGGUAGAUGGAGAGAAUGGAAUUCCACAAGUAGCGGUGAAAUGCGUAGAUAUGUGGAAGAACACCAGUGGCGAAGGCGAUUCUCUAAUUUAUUCCUGACGCUGAGGCGCGAAAGCAAGGGGAGCAAACA